AUUGCCCUAGUAACGGCGAGUGAAGCGGCAACAGCUCAAAUUUGAAAUCUGGCCCUCGGGUCCGAGUUGUAAUUUGUAGAGGAUGCUUUUGGUGCGGUACCUUCCGAGUUCCCUGGAACGGGACGCCAUAGAGGGUGAGAGCCCCGUCUGGUUGGAUACCAAUCCUCUGUAAAGCUCCUUCGACGAGUCGAGUAGUUUGGGAAUGCUGCUCUAAAUGGGAGGUAUAUGUCUUCUAAAGCUAAAUAUUGGCCAGAGACCGAUAGCGCACAAGUAGAGUGAUCGAAAGAUGAAAAGCACUUUGAAAAGAGAGUUAAAAAGUACGUGAAAUUGUUGAAAGGGAAGCGCUUAUGACCAGACUUGGGCUUGGUUGAUCAUCCUGGGUUCUCCCUGGUGCACUCUUCCAGUUCAGGCCAGCAUCAGUUUGCUUCGGGGGAUAAAGGCUUCGGGAAUGUGGCUCCUCCGGGAGUGUUAUAGCCCGUUGUGUAAUACCCUGGAGCAGACUGAGGUUCGCGCAUCUGCAAGGAUGCUGGCGUAAUGGUCAUCAGCGACCCGUCUUGAAACACGGACCAAGGAGUCGUCUUCGUAUGCGAGUGUUCGGGUGUUAAACCCCUACGCGUAAUGAAAGUGAACGCAGGUGAGAGCUUCGGCGCAUCAUCGACCGAUCCUGAUGUUCUCGGAUGGAUUUGAGUAAGAGCAUACGGGGCCGGACCCGAAAGAAGGUGAACUAUGCCUGUAUAGGGUGAAGCCAGAGGAAACUCUGGUGGAGGCUCGCAGCGGUUCUGACGUGCAAAUCGAUCGUCAAAUAUGGGCAUGGGGGCGAAAGACUAAU
This 829-nucleotide ribosomal RNA is filed under the name Gliocephalotrichum longibrachium. Its description in RNAcentral is "eukaryotic LSU rRNA". It matches the Rfam family "Eukaryotic large subunit ribosomal RNA", at positions 74 to 935 of the family's 3401-position model. The record is from RNAcentral. Lineage: Eukaryota; Fungi; Ascomycota; Sordariomycetes; Hypocreales; Nectriaceae.